RNAcentral lists this ribosomal RNA (403 nucleotides) under Bacteroidota bacterium. RNAcentral describes it as "Bacteroidetes bacterium partial 16S ribosomal RNA". It matches the Rfam family "Bacterial small subunit ribosomal RNA", at positions 355 to 776 of the family's 1533-position model. Lineage: Bacteria; Pseudomonadati; Bacteroidota. The record is from RNAcentral.
UGGGGAAUAUUGCACAAUGGGGGAAACCCUGAUGCAGCGACGCCGCGUGAGCGAAGAAGGCCUUCGGGUCGUAAAGCUCUUUUAUGAGGGAAGAUAUGACGGUACCUCAAGAAAAAGCCCCGGCUAACUACGUGCCAGCAGCCGCGGUAAUACGUAGGGGGCUAGCGUUGUUCGGAAUCACUGGGCGUAAAGGGUUCGCAGGCGGAAUAACAAGUCAGAUGUGAAAGGCAUGGGCUCAACCCAUGUAAGCAUUUGAAACUGUAAUUCUUGAGAAGUGGAGAGGUAAGUGGAAUUCCUAGUGUAGCGGUGAAAUGCGUAGAUAUUAGGAGGAAUACCUGUGGCGAAGGCGACUUACUGGACACAAAUCUGACGCUGAGGAACGAAAGCGUGGGUAGCAAACAGG